CCUAAGGUAGCGAAAUUCCUUGUCGGGUAAGUUCCGACCUGCACGAAUGGCGUAAUGAUGGCCAGGCUGUCUCCACCCGAGACUCAGUGAAAUUGAACUCGCUGUGAAGAUGCAGUGUACCCGCGGCAAGACGGAAAGACCCCGUGAACCUUUACUAUAGCUUGACACUGAACAUUGAGCCUUGAUGUGUAGGAUAGGUGGGAGGCUUUGAAGUGUGGACGCCAGUCUGCAUGGAGCCAACCUUGAAAUACCACCCUUUAAUGUUUGAUGUUCUAACUCGGCCCCAUAAUCUGGGGUGAGGACAGUGUCUGGUGGGUAGUUUGACUGGGGCGGUCUCCUCCCAAAGAGUAACGGAGGAGCACGAAGGUUAGCUAAUCACGGUCGGACAUCGUGAGGUUAGUGCAAAGGCAUAAGCUAGCUUGACUGCGAGAGUGACGGCUCGAGCAGGUACGAAAGUAGGUCUUAGUGAUCCGGUGGUUCUGAAUGGAAGGGCCAUCGCUCAACGGAUAAAAGGUACUCCGGGGAUAACAGGCUGAUACCGCCCAAGAGUUCAUAUCGACGGCGGUGUUUGGCACCUCGAUGUCGGCUCAUCACAUCCUGGGGCUGAAGUAGGUCCCAAGGGUAUGGCUGUUCGCCAUUUAAAGUGGUACGCGAGCUGGGUUUAGAACGUCGUGAGACAGUUCGGUCCCUAUCUGCCGUGGGCGUUGGAAGAUUGAGAGGGGUUGCUCCUAGUACGAGAGGACCGGAGUGAACGCACCACUGGUGUUCGGGUUGUCAUGCCAAUGGCACUGCCCGGUAGCUAAGUGCGGAAAAGAUAAGCGCUGAAAGCAUCUAAGCGCGAAACUUGCCUCGAGAUGAGUCUUCCCUGGGCCUUUAAGGUCCCUGAAGGAACGUUUAAGACUAAGACGUUGAUAGGCUGGGUGUGUAAGUGCAGCGAUGCAUUGAGCUAACCAGUACUAAUGAUCCGUGAGGCUUAACCUU
Molecule: ribosomal RNA, 981 nt
Filed under: metagenomes
Description: bacterial LSU rRNA
Rfam family: Bacterial large subunit ribosomal RNA
Source: RNAcentral